AAGCAAUUGGGUACUGAAAGCAUGGCAGAAAUUGAUAAUAUUUCAUUUGAACAUUUGAAUUCUGGACUAACAACGAGCAUCUUUGACAUCUGAGGAUCUAAUGGAAAUUCACUCAUUAUUUCCCCAAGCUUCGUCAGGUUCCCGUCAUCAUCCAAAGCACCCAAGUAAUUCAGAACUUCUAAAGCUCGCAUCAAUGUCUCGGGAGCAGGUGGAUCCAUAAAAUCAAAAUGCACAAGGUCGUCAAUUCCCAACUUCUUCAAGGUAAGAACAGUAUUUGCAAGGUUUGAUCUCAAAAUUUCAGGAUAUGUCUGUGGCUGCAAAUCAUUUUGGAAACUCUUUUCUGUGUAAAGUCUAAAACAUUUUCCGGGCUGAGUUCUUCCAGCACGACCAGAUCUCUGAUGUGCACUAGCCUUUGAUAUAGGAGAUACCAACAAUGAUUCCACACGUACUCGGGGGAUAUAAACUUUCUGUUUUGAAAAGCCAGGGUCAAUAACAUAAACAAUGCCAUCUAUGGUCAAUGAAGUCUCAGCAAUGUUCGUGGACACCACAAUCUUCCUUCCAG
This 562-nucleotide unclassified non-coding RNA is filed under the name Hevea brasiliensis (rubber tree). The record is from RNAcentral. Lineage: Eukaryota; Viridiplantae; Streptophyta; Magnoliopsida; Malpighiales; Euphorbiaceae.